Non-coding RNA from Pelobates cultripes (western spadefoot toad), 243 nucleotides. NCBI's taxonomy places the organism in Eukaryota, Metazoa, Chordata, Amphibia, Anura, Pelobatidae. The record is from the annotation of a GenBank genome assembly.
UUGGUUAGUAGUUUAAAACCAAAUGCCAUCCGAUGCCAGUCAUAAGUUUCAUGAAAACCAGUCUAUAUUACCAUGGUUAUUAACUAAAGUAUGGGGAAUGCAAAACAAUUUUCAAAUUUAAAGUAAAAAAAAACCUGAAUUGAAUAGAAAAUAUAGCUGACUUGGAGAAUUGUUCCAAUUAUGAUAUUUUGACAUAAAAUUCUAAAUCAGCUUUCAAUUCACUUUUCAUUUUUGGUAUUUAAC